Molecule: unclassified non-coding RNA, 305 nt
Filed under: Hevea brasiliensis (rubber tree)
Lineage: Eukaryota; Viridiplantae; Streptophyta; Magnoliopsida; Malpighiales; Euphorbiaceae
Source: RNAcentral
GUCCGACAUUAGCAGUGUUUGGCAUGCACCACACAUUCAAUAACUCCGAAGAUGGAACUUUUGUAGGAUCGAUUGCACCCCUUAAUGGUCUUGGAUCAUUUACUCCAGUGUCACUCCAUCCAUAAGCUGUCCCACCACCAGCAACACCUUCAACUGGUGGAACAACCAUCUCCUGGUGGUCCCCGGAGUUCUCCAUCAGUGUAGGUACGAAGGUAGAGAGAGUUUCCGCUAUCGAUUUCCAGUUUCCAGGUUAUGAUCGUGCUUUGUGACUACACACAGAUGAAAUGACAGUAGUCGAUACUCUA